UACGAAGGGGGCUAGCGUUGCUCGGAAUCACUGGGCGUAAAGCGCACGUAGGCGGCUUCUUAAGUCAGGGGUGAAAUCCUGGAGCUCAACUCCAGAACUGCCUUUGAUACUGAGGAGCUUGAGUCCGGGAGAGGUGAGUGGAACUGCGAGUGUAGAGGUGAAAUUCGUAGAUAUUCGCAAGAACACCAGUGGCGAAGGCGGGUCUCUGGACAGUUCCUGACGCUGAGGCACGAAGGUCAGGGGAGCAAACGGG
Molecule: ribosomal RNA, 253 nt
Filed under: uncultured bacterium
Lineage: Bacteria
Description: partial 16S ribosomal RNA
Rfam family: Bacterial small subunit ribosomal RNA
Source: RNAcentral